Long non-coding RNA from Sorghum bicolor (sorghum), 304 nucleotides. RefSeq lists it as uncharacterized. The record is from RefSeq and is a predicted model, not a curated record. Lineage: Eukaryota; Viridiplantae; Streptophyta; Magnoliopsida; Poales; Poaceae. The transcript has 2 exons.
UCGCUGCGACCUCGACACCCGGUUGCCUGAGUCUGAUCCGCUCUGAGCACGGCUUCAACACCACCUGCAUCACCAAGCUCUUCCCCACACGCUCGCACACUGUCGUGGCACAGAGGUUUUGGUGGAACAAAUGCAUGUUUGAGACAAGUAUGGUCAAAUUUUGUAAUGAUCGUUGACAUUUGUGGCUUCUACUAUAUAGUUGUGCAAAGACUUGAUUUCAGUUUGAAACACUUAUAUAUUUUUAUGUAAACAUACUUAUUCCUGAGAUUUUUCUAUCACUAUGAGAUGCUAGCUUGAUAUGUAA